GUGCUUGAGUUGGCAGCACAUAUACUAAAAUUGGAAUGAUACAGAGAAGAUUAGCAUGGCCCCAAGGGAUCCAGCGUGGUGUAGUGAUUAAGAGCAGUGGUUU
Small nuclear RNA from Euleptes europaea (tarantolino), 103 nucleotides. Lineage: Eukaryota; Metazoa; Chordata; Lepidosauria; Squamata; Sphaerodactylidae. The record is from RefSeq and is a predicted model, not a curated record.